UGUCAAGCGUUUUGACGUCGUUUGCGGCGAACGGAUCUCUUUUGCCUUCAGUUAGGUGAGAGAAAUG
The sequence is a regulatory RNA element, 67 nucleotides long. It matches the Rfam family "S-element". Rfam says of the family: This family represents a group of S-elements from p42d and related plasmids. The S-element has multiple functions and is believed to act as a negative regulator of repC transcription, be required for efficient replication and act as a translational enhancer of repC. The record is from Rfam.